GACAUGACAUUUCAUUUAUAAAUAUGCAGACGACAUGACAUCUUAAUGUUUCAUAUUCCUCCUCCUUACAUCUGUGAUUUUCAGUGAUAGAUUCUGAAAGUGCUUUUAUAAAUUAACAGUUUACUUCUUGGUCAACUUAUAUGUUAAACAGCUUGUAGGCUUUUGUAGCCGUGUUUGGUUUUGUCAAAUCUAAUUGAAAAACUUCCUAAUAUUUGGAUUUCCAGAUCCAGUUUUGCCUCUAGGUGCAACUGUAGCACGGUGCCACUGUUGCACCUAAGGGGAAUCCUCUAUCUUGUUGUUCAACUCUUCAACAAUCGGACUUAUUCUACUUUUCUUCCCAAAAUUUUCUGGGAUUCUAUCUUGGGAUCAGGCUACGGUGCAACAGUGGCACCGUGCUACAGUUGCACCUAGCCGUUGGAUGCAGUUGGAUUGGUAAGAUCUACUGACAUCCAACGACUAGGUGCAACUGUAGCACGGUGCCACUGUUGCACCUAAGGGGAAUCCUCUAUCUUGUUGUUCAACUCUUCAACAAUCGGACUUAUUCUACUUUUCUUCCCAAAAUUUCAAGCUGAGCGCAUUAGAUUAGACCGAAGCCCUCUCUUUCCCUUUCAGACCGUCCACGUAGUUGCGACCACAAGAUAGAUUCGUGUGCAGGCAACCAACCCAACCCUCGACAUAAAUCUACGUGUUCACACUUCACACAACGAAAAGGUCAUUGAUGCUGAUGAGGACGCACGGGCAAAUCUCCUGCUUCGGAUUCUUUUCUUCGUUCAAAUUUUUUAUUCUUUGUCGUAUUUUAAAAGGCGGACACAAGCAUGUGACAGCACAGACCCCGCACUGGCCGCAUCAGACUCUAAUGACUACCGUCCAAACGGGUGUUCAUUCCAAUAAAUGAUUCCUUGCAUUUCCAAUAAAGUUAACACUUUCAAAACGGCAGGCUUUUUUUUUUUUUUUUUAAUUAUUAAUCACUUGCUUUUGCAAGCUGCAGCUUUGCUUACUUUUACCGGAGGGCAUUUACAACACUUUUACUUGCAUAGUUGUGUUGUGAAUCUAGAAACAGAGGAGGAGGAGAGGAAGAUUGAAGCGAGGAAGUUUUGGGAGUGGGAGCGUGGGGUAAGAAGUGAAGAAAACGUAUAAUUUUUCUUUUCUUUUUCAAUUGAGAAAGAAAAUUACAAAUUCAAUUUCUUCCCUAUGCCUCCCAUUCCUAUGAUUUCCUGCAGUUCCUUCCUCUCUUUAUCAUCUCUUCGUCGACUUUAGGAACCGUGCUUGAUUUCUUCAGUUCAAUUUCUGGUAAGGUAUCUCUUCUUUCUAUUUAUUUUGUGGGGGAUGACGUCAUCAUUUUUCCUUCUAUCGUUUUCAUAUCAAGCUUCUUCUUCUUUUUUUAUUAAUUAAUCAAUCUUGUUUGUUACAAUUUGGCUAUGGAUCCCCUUCGUGGCUGGGUUUUAACAUCAGUCAUGGCGGGGAGAUGUAAAAGACAGGGUUCGAUGAGAUAUCCUUGAUGGCGCGUCGUUUAUAAUGUUUUAUGCUAACGACAUGACAUUUCAUUUAUAAAUAUGCAGACGACAUGACAUCUUAAUGUUUCAUAUUCCUCCUCCUUACAUCUGUGAUUUUCAGUGAUAGAUUCUGAAAGUGCUUUUAUAAAUUAACAGUUUACUUCUUGGUCAACUUAUAUGUUAAACAGCUUGUAGGCUUUUGUAGCCGUGUUUGGUUUUGUCAAAUCUAAUUGAAAAACUUCCUAAUAUUUGGAUUUCCAGAUCCAGUUUUGCCUUUUAAGUCCUAACCAUUUGCUUUGCUUUUGCUUCACUCACGAUGAAUUUUAUAACCAGUUAAAUUACUAUUAUAUUAUCUAACAAUAAAUAACCAACUCAUUGAUUAACAUACCAGCUGAGAUUCUAAAAUUUUUUAACCAGAUUCUCUUCUGAUCUGAGAUUAAAUUUU
RNAcentral lists this long non-coding RNA (1938 nucleotides) under Citrus sinensis (sweet orange). RNAcentral's name for it is "long non-coding RNA (CSIN_LNC000659)". Lineage: Eukaryota; Viridiplantae; Streptophyta; Magnoliopsida; Sapindales; Rutaceae. The record is from RNAcentral.